RNAcentral lists this long non-coding RNA (261 nucleotides) under Carica papaya (papaya). RNAcentral describes it as "long non-coding RNA (CPAP_LNC002234)". The record is from RNAcentral. Lineage: Eukaryota; Viridiplantae; Streptophyta; Magnoliopsida; Brassicales; Caricaceae.
AACUGAAAUGCACUACUGGUACCUGCACGUGUCCCAAAAAAUCCCAAAUUAGACCCAGGCCCCCUUCGGCCAAUAUCGCAAUUCCGACACGGCGGCUCCGCCAUGCUCCGGCGACGGCGAUUCACCUCGGGUUGGCCGUUUUUGGCCGUUUCCAGCCGAAUUCGGCCACACUUGCAUCGGUCCUUGUGAUAAAACAACCCUAGGGCCCUUGGGGGGCCAAAAAAUUACAGAAAACUGAAGCUUACGGCGGCGGUGCUCUCG